CUUUCCAAUGUGCGAAAGCACAAGAAGGAUAAUCCUAAUGGUUUCUGCUAAAGGAACCUUUUGUUAGUCCUAGAAACACUAACUAAUAAGGGGUGGGCAAGUUCUGGUGUCAGCCGCCGCGGUAAA
RNAcentral lists this ribosomal RNA (126 nucleotides) under uncultured archaeon KNIA12. RNAcentral describes it as "partial 16S ribosomal RNA". It matches the Rfam family "Archaeal small subunit ribosomal RNA", at positions 348 to 474 of the family's 1478-position model. The record is from RNAcentral.